This 1780-nucleotide ribosomal RNA is filed under the name metagenome. Its description in RNAcentral is "SSU rRNA". It matches the Rfam family "Eukaryotic small subunit ribosomal RNA". The record is from RNAcentral.
UGGUUGAUCCUGCCAGUAGUCAUAUGCUUGUCUCAAAGAUUAAGCCAUGCAUGUCUAAGUACACACUUUGGUAAAGUGAGACCGCGAAUGGCUCGUUAAAUCAGCUACAAUUUAUUAGAUCGUACACUGUUACUUGGAUAACUGUGGGAAUUCUAGAGCUAAUACAUGCCGAGAGUCUCUGCUCUUCGGGGCAGAGCGCAGUUAUUAGACCAAAACCAGCCGUAUUCUUCGGGGUACGCUCUUUUGGUGACUCUGGAUAACCUUCAGCCGAUCGCAUGGCCUCGUGCCGGCGACGUAUCUUUCAAGUGUCUGCCCUAUCAACUUUCGAUGGUACGUGAUAUGCCUACCAUGGUGAUAACGGGUAACGGGGAAUCAGGGUUCGAUUCCGGAGAGGGAGCCUGAGAAAUGGCUACCACAUCCAAGGAUGGCAGCAGGCGCGCAAAUUACCCACUCCCAGCUUGGGGAGGUAGUGACGAAAAAUAACAAUGCGGGACUCUAAGAGGCCCCGUAAUUGGAAUGAGUACACCUUAAAUCGUUUAACGAGUAUCAAUUGGAGGGCAAGUCUGGUGCCAGCAGCCGCGGUAAUUCCAGCUCCAAUAGCGUAUAUUAAAGUUGCUGCAGUUAAAAAGCUCGUAGUUGGAUCUGGGGCUUGAGGUCGCUGUCUAUCGUUUCGGCGAUGACGGUGAUGCUCAGCUCUGCUUGCCGGUGACUGUUGCGGUGUUCUUCACUGAGCGCUGUAGCAGCACGGCACGUUUACUUUGAAAAAAUUAGAGUGCUCAAAGCGUGCUUGUCGCUUGAAUAAUGUUGCAUGGAAUAAUGGAAUAGGACCUCGGUUCUAUUUUGUUGGUUUUCGGAGCUUGAGGUAAUGAUUAAGAGGGACGAACGGGGGCAUUCGUAUUGCGGUGUUAGAGGUGAAAUUCUUGGAUCGCCGCAAGACGGACUACUGCGAAAGCAUUUGCCAAGAACGCUUUCAUUAAUUAAGAUCGAAAGUCAGAGGUUCGAAGACGAUCAGACACCGUCCUAGUUCUGACCAUAAACGAUGCCGACCAGCGAUCCGUAGUCGUUGCUUUAUGGACCCUACGGGCAGCCUCCGGGAAACCAAAGUAUUUGGGUUCCGGGGGAAGUAUGGUUGCAAAGCUGAAACUUAAAGGAAUUGACGGAAGGGCACACCAGGAGUGGAGCCUGCGGCUUAAUUUGACCCAACACGGGAAAACUCACCCGGUCCGGACACCGUAAGGAUUGACAGACUGAUAGCUCUUUCUUGAUUCGGUGGAUGGUGGUGCAUGGCCGUUCUUAGUUGGUGGAGUGAUUUGUCUGGUUAAUUCCGAUAACGAACGAGACUCUAGCCUGCUAAGUAGUGUUGCUAUUGUUAUAUGGUUGACACUUCUUAGAGGGACAAGUGGCAUUUAGCCACGCGAAAUUGAGCAAUAACAGGUCUGUGAUGCCCUUGGAUGUCCGGGGCCGCACGCGCGCUACACUGGAGAAGUCAGCGUGUGUUAUCCAAGUCCGAAAGGACUGGGUAAUCCGUUGAACCUUCUUCGUGCUUGGGACUGUGGCUUGGAACUAUUCCACAUGAACGAGGAAUUCCUAGUAAUUGCAAGUCAUAAGCUUGCGUUGAUUACGUCCCUGCCCUUUGUACACACCGCCCGUCGCCACUACCGAUUGAAUGGUUUAGCAAGGUCCUCGGAUCGUGGCCGUAGGGGCACGCAAGUGUUUCUGCGGUUUGCGAGAAGACGACCAAACUUGAUCAUUUAGAGGAAGUAAAAGUCGUAACAAGGUU